Molecule: ribosomal RNA, 425 nt
Filed under: uncultured bacterium
Lineage: Bacteria
Description: bacterial SSU rRNA
Rfam family: Bacterial small subunit ribosomal RNA
Source: RNAcentral
GGGGAAUUUUGCGCAAUGGACGAAAGUCUGACGCAGCAACGCCGCGUGGGUGAUGAAGGUCUUCGGAUCGUAAAACCCUGUCGUCAGGGACGAAGGUUGUGUUCUUAAUACGGAUGCAGCUUGGCGGUACCUGGAGAGGAAGCCCCGGCUAACUCUGUGCCAGCAGCCGCGGUAAUACAGAGGGGGCAAGCGUUAUUCGGAAUUAUUGGGCGUAAAGGGCGCGUAGGCGGUGAUUUAAGUGAGAUGUGUAAUCCCCGGGCUUAACCUGGGAACUGCAUCUCAUACUGGAUCGCUGGAGUGCUGGAGAGGGUGGUAGAAUUCCACGUGUAGCGGUGAAAUGCGUAGAGAUGUGGAGGAAUACCAGUGGCGAAGGCGGCCACCUGGACAGUAACUGACGCUGAGGCGCGAAAGUGUGGGUAGCAAAC